UGACCUCGGAUCAGGUAGGACUACCCGCUGAACUUAAGCAUAUCAAUAAGCGGAGGAAAAGAAACCAACAGGGAUUGCCCCAGUAACGGCGAGUGAAGCGGCAACAGCUCAGAUUUGGAAUCUGGCCCCUAGGGCCCGAGUUGUAAUCUGGAGAGGAUGUUUCUGGCGCGGCGCCUUCCGAGUUCCCUGGAACGGGACGCCGGAGAGGGUGAGAGCCCCGUACGGUUGGACGCCUAGCCUUUGUGAAACUCCUUCGACGAGUCGAGUAGUUUGGGAAUGCUGCUCAAAAUGGGAGGUAAAUUUCUUCUAAAGCUAAAUACCGGCCAGAGACCGAUAGCGCACAAGUAGAGUGAUCGAAAGAUGAAAAGCACUUUGAAAAGAGGGUCAAACAGUACGUGAAAUUGUUGAAAGGGAAGCGCCCGUGGCCAGACUUGUACCCCGCGGACCAUCCGGCGCCCUCAGCGCCGGUGCACUCCGUGGGGCGCAGGCCAGCAUCGGUUUUCCUAGGGGGAUAAAGGCGGCGGGAACGUAGCUCCCUCGGGAGUGUUAUAGCCCGCCGUGCCAUGCCCCUGGGGGGACCGAGGACCGCGCUCGGCAAGGAUGCUGGCGUAAUGGCCACCGGCGACCCGU
Molecule: ribosomal RNA, 630 nt
Filed under: Leptographium piceaperdum
Lineage: Eukaryota; Fungi; Ascomycota; Sordariomycetes; Ophiostomatales; Ophiostomataceae
Description: eukaryotic LSU rRNA
Rfam family: Eukaryotic large subunit ribosomal RNA
Source: RNAcentral